GGAGCUGGAUCUGUCCUGGUGGGCAGCGCGGCCUUCAAAGCCGUUGUGAGGGAUGAAGAAUCUCUCGGGUGUGUUCGAUUCACACACAGCUCCGCCA
RNAcentral lists this transfer RNA (97 nucleotides) under Actinomycetes bacterium. RNAcentral describes it as "tRNA-Sec". It matches the Rfam family "Selenocysteine transfer RNA". Lineage: Bacteria; Bacillati; Actinomycetota; Actinomycetes. The record is from RNAcentral.